GGACGCUUUCAACGAAACUGCAUCAGGGUCGCCCAAAACAGCACUUUGUUACAUGAACUUGUAUGGACUACGGGUAGACCUCUAUGAUGGAUCGAACACCCAGAACGGGUAUGAUAUUGUAAGAGCUAAAUCCGGCUUCGAAAAUGAUCUUCUUCCACUCUUCCUCAUCUCGUUCGGCUCCAUUGAUAGCCAUGAUAAAGAGAUCGAACAAGACCUGCGUCUCUACAUGCUUCCGGUCGGACGACCCCGCUCCAACCACGAUAUCCAUUAUUAUCACCUUCCCUCCUUCGGAUGGUAUGGCCUUCUUGCAGUUCUGCAAUAUCUUGACGCAUUCGGCAUCGCCCCAGUCAUGCAGAACCCACUGAAACCACAUAAACACGUAAGUAGCUAGCGAAAAUCACAAAAUUACGAACCCAUUUUAUUCUAAAUACGAUCCCACGCCAGAGCCAGACCUUGAGGAAGACAACGUCUGCGGCUGGGAUGCUCUGAAACAUGUCGCCGGCGAUGUACUUCACGUCGGUGCUAGUGGGCGCAGCGGCGACGACGUUCGGGAGGUCCAGCACGCUGCAGUCGAUGUGCGGGAACGCCUUCGCGAUGGCCUGGGCAGCGCCGCCGAGCCCGCCGGCGACGUCGACCAGGGAGCUGAUCCCUCGGAAAACACCGUCGGCGCACUCCUCGACCAUGACGUCCAUGAUGAACCCGCUGUCCGCGACCAUGCCGCUGUCGCAGAGCUUGGCGAAGCUCGCGUCGUGGCGGGCCAUGUCCCACACGUGCUGCCCGUGCGCCAGCUUGAACGGGGACGGGUCCGGCAGCUCGUGCUGGAACCACUCGCCGAGGUCGAGGAAGGAGGACACGAAGGCGGUGCCGAGGAUCAUGUUCAGAAACGGACUCACGUUCGGGCCGUUGGACGGCGCCGAGCCGACCAGGAGGCGAGACGCCGGCGUGAGCUCGUAGACAAGAUCGCUGCCGCCGUCGGUCGUCGAGUGCUGAACGACGACGCCGAAGACGCCGGUGAGAGUGAGCACGCGCAUGAGGCGUCGCAGACACGGUGUCUU
RNAcentral lists this unclassified non-coding RNA (1055 nucleotides) under Zea mays. RNAcentral's name for it is "misc RNA Zm00001eb292860". The record is from RNAcentral. Lineage: Eukaryota; Viridiplantae; Streptophyta; Magnoliopsida; Poales; Poaceae.